This is a long non-coding RNA of Pan troglodytes (chimpanzee), 960 nucleotides long. RefSeq lists it as uncharacterized. Lineage: Eukaryota; Metazoa; Chordata; Mammalia; Primates; Hominidae. The transcript has 3 exons. The record is from RefSeq and is a predicted model, not a curated record.
AGACUUUUUACAAUCUAGAACCCAGAGAUCAGGUCUUUUAGAAAAGAUGCUAAUGGAAGACUGCCCUUGAACUCCAUUGGAAGGUACCAUACCAAGUCCUCCCGUACAGCAAAACUUCAGAGUUGGUCAGAAAUGGUGGCAUAUGCCUGUAAUCCCAGCUACUGGAGGUGGGAGCGCUGAGCCCAGGAGUCUGAAGCUGGCCUGGGCAACACAGAAAGACCCUGUCUCUUGAAAAAAAUCAAAAACUUCAGGACCUCAUGUCUUGGAUCAACAUCUUUCAACUCAAGAGGGUUGUCUUAGUUUGUUCUCUGUUGAAGAACUGAAUACCUGAGACUUGGUAAUUUAUAGAGAAAAGAAAUGUAUUUAUUACAGCUCUGGAGAAGCUGUGAAGUCCAAGGGCAUGGUGCUGGCAUCUUGUGAAGGCCUUCUUGCUGCAUCAAAACAUGGUAGAGGACAUCACACCCUGAGAGGGAAAGAUUAUGUCAACUCAGGGGUCUCUACUGACCAGGCUAGAGUACAGUGACAUGAUCCCAGCUCACUGCUGUAUCAAACUCCUGGGCUCAUUCAAUCCUCUCACCUCAGCCUCUCAAGUAGCUGGGACUACAGGCACGUGCUACCACACCUGAGUUACCUGUUCCGAGUGAAGUUAGCUUCAGUAUCAUGAGAAACUCUGGAGAGACUUGAAGCCUGCUGCCAAUAGCCAUGUAGCAUGCCAUCUUGGAAGUGCAUCCUCCAGCCCUAGUCAAGCCUAAACCCUGACCAACAGCCUGACAGCCACCCCAUGAGAAAACUUGAGCCAGAACCGCCCUUCUGUUCAUCAGCAAACAUUUACUAAACUCUGGCUACGUGCUAGACAGUGUUUCAGGUUCUAGGAACACAGCAGGGACAACUCAAAGAAGGUGCCUGCUUUCAUGGCAAUAGCAUUUUAAUAGAGUAAACUAAUAAACAGAUAAAAGCAAA